Molecule: ribosomal RNA, 450 nt
Filed under: uncultured bacterium
Lineage: Bacteria
Description: bacterial SSU rRNA
Rfam family: Bacterial small subunit ribosomal RNA
Source: RNAcentral
AACGAACGCUGGCGGCAUGCCUAACACAUGCAAGUCGAACGAAGUCUUCGGACUUAGUGGCGCACGGGUGCGUAACGCGUGGGAAUCUGCCCUUGGGUGCGGAAUAACUUCUCGAAAGGGAUGCUAAUACCGCAUAAUGUCGUAAGACCAAAGAUUUAUCGCCCAGGGAUGAGCCCGCGUAGGAUUAGCUAGUUGGUGAGGUAAAGGCUCACCAAGGCGACGAUCCUUAGCUGGUCUGAGAGGAUGAUCAGCCACACUGAGACUGAGACACGGCCCAGACUCCUACGGGAGGCAGCAGUGGGGAAUAUUGGACAAUGGGCGAAAGCCUGAUCCAGCAAUGCCGCGUGAGUGAUGAAGGCCUUAGGGUUGUAAAGCUCUUUACCCGGGAUGAUAAUGACAGUACCGGGAGAAGUAAGCCCCGGCUAACUCCGUGCCAGCAGCCGCGGUAAU